RNAcentral lists this ribosomal RNA (207 nucleotides) under uncultured bacterium. RNAcentral describes it as "partial 16S ribosomal RNA". It matches the Rfam family "Bacterial small subunit ribosomal RNA", at positions 568 to 774 of the family's 1533-position model. The record is from RNAcentral.
CUCGUAGGCGGCCAACUAAGUCGGAUGUGAAAUCCCCAGGCUUAACCUGGGAACUGCAUCCGAUACUGGUUGGCUUGAAUCCGGGAGAGGGAUGCAGAAUUCCAGGUGUAGCGGUGAAAUGCGUAGAUAUCUGGAGGAAUACCGGUGGCGAAGGCGGCAUCCUGGACCGGCAUUGACGCUGAUGAGCGAAAGCUAGGGGAGCAAACG